AUGACCAUUCCUUGUAAGCUUGGUGGUGGAGGUCAUGGUACUGUGUACAAAGGAAUUUUGUCAGAUUUGCAUGUUGUUGCCAUCAAAAAAGAUAUCAAGUCUAGCAAUAUACUUCUUGAUGAUGCAUUGACAACAAAGGUGUCUCACUUUGGAGCUUCAAGUUUUGGAGUAAUUCUUAUUGAGUUGCUUACAAGGCAGAUGCCAAUUAUGUACAGAUCAUCUAAAGGUGAUGGGCUUGCUGCACAAUUCAUUGAACUACCUGCAAAAGAUAAAUUGGUAGAAAUAGUGGAUUCACAGGUCAGGGAGGAGGGAGGUAGCCAAGUAGAAGUAGCCGCUCUAGCUGUGUCAUGUAGAAAGCUAAGAGUAGAGGCACGACCAACCAUGAGGUCAGUGGAGAUGACACUAGAAUCCCUUCAAGGACCCGAGGAGCGUGAUCUGCUUAGGGACAAAUUGCAAGCAGAAACAAAUGAGAUGAGUUAUUUGGCAGCAAGACAUACAUCGCUUAUAAGAAGGACAAGCUUGGAGAACAUGAGUAGGCAAUCUAGUCAAGAAGAAGAGUUUGUGUUGUCCGCGAGCUACCCUCGAUAG
RNAcentral lists this ribosomal RNA (588 nucleotides) under Triticum aestivum (bread wheat). RNAcentral describes it as "partial small subunit ribosomal RNA". The record is from RNAcentral. Lineage: Eukaryota; Viridiplantae; Streptophyta; Magnoliopsida; Poales; Poaceae.